Molecule: long non-coding RNA, 10562 nt
Organism: Brassica rapa (field mustard)
Lineage: Eukaryota; Viridiplantae; Streptophyta; Magnoliopsida; Brassicales; Brassicaceae
Source: RefSeq, a predicted model, not a curated record
GAGCCUCAAAAGGUCCCUUUUAUUAGUAAGGAUUAACCCAAGGGGUAUAAGUGUAUAUUUACCUCUUUAAUUAAACCUAUUUUUGUGACUUUGAACCUUGAGUGCUACUUUGGGAACAUAAACUUGGUUUGGUGCUAUCCUAGUCUUUUUCUCUAAAUAUAUUCAGCAAUAUAGAAAACAAAAAGGUGUCCAACUACAUAUAAAAGUCUUUUGUACUGUAAUUAUUCCAUUAUUGUAUAUAUUAUAUAUAUUGAUUAGGACGUUUUAUUUUUAGUGUUGUAUUUGUAUUUCCUUUACUUUUAAGUUCAAACUCCUAAUCACCACAGAAAAUAAGUUCUGACUUGGUCAGUAAUCAGUUGUUUAUGUAACGUUUUUAACUCUUUUUUUUUUCAUUAACACACUUUACUUCUGUUGGAUUAAUUUCCUGUUUUUAAAAUCAAUAGAUUUGUUAAUCACCACGAGAAUAUUUGUUUUUACGUGUUUUGUCUUCACAUUCGUAGAGAUGCUCUUUUGACAUAAUGCAUACAAAGUAAAAACUAUAAAAGUUGCAUGAUAUCGGUUUUACUCCUACCUUGGAAUUCAUAUGAAUCUUUAUCAAAACACAAAAAUAAUAAUUUGUCGUAAGAUUAAUCUAGAAAUAAUUGAUACUUUUGCAUUAUAUAUAUAAAACAUCACUUAAAACCAAAAAUAAGGUAAAACAUCACUUAGUAUGAUACAAAUGUAGAAUUAGAUUAAUGAGUCUUCACAUGAGGUUAAGAACAAAUUGGUCUGAUUUUUAUUGGUUAAAAGUUAAAAUGGCUUUCAAUCUGCUCUGAGUUUUAAUUUUAUUUAUUUUAUAAUGAGUAAAGUUAUAUAUGUUAGCAUGCAAUUAGAACAGGUGAAGCAUGACGACUUCAACUUGCAAUGGAAAAAUCCAUAGCAGUGCUCCUUGUCCAUUUAUCACAUGUCUUUUCAUAUAUAUAUUCCAUUUUUCAAUCAUAUUGCUUCUUUUUCCUUUUAACUAAAACACCAUCACAAUUGUCCAUAUAUACUCUCAAAACGCGUUUACAUAUUACAUGCCAACAGCAUGACUUCUUGAGUUUAAGAAUUUUGGUGAGAAAGUAAAUCACUGUUUUUUUUUUCGUUAACAAUUAUGAAAGGUAAAGUAUAUGAAGUUGAAAGUAAAUCAUUGUUGUAUUGAGAAGAAAUGGAUUUUAAAACUGAAAAAAUGUUUUUGUAAAGAAACCAUGAAAUUAGUAAGACUAUAAAAUUGAUAUAAGUAAUGUUUUUUAAGUAUAUGAAAUUUUCAUUCAGAAAGAAAGUGAAUCAUGCAAUAAAGAAAGUUUAAUAGUGGAUAAAGACAUAAUAAACUAAGUUUAUGUGCUUAAAUGAAGACUGGUUUUUUCUGUGGUGGGUUGCAUGUUGUUCCACAGCCGUACUCGAGGUUGCCUUUUAAAAAAAGAUCACAUGCAUUUAGAAACGGAAAACAAAUAAUAACAACAAUAAUAUAAAUCUUAUAUAUAUAUAUAUACUGUUUUAGAUAAAUAAUAAAUCUAGAAAGAAAAUUGCAUGCAACACACACGAAUUAUAUCAGUAUACAGACUGUUGCCUACCUUAAUCUUUUUUUUUAAUCAGAAAUUAUCGGAAAAAUGCUACUAUAUGAAAUAUUUUUUUUGAAUACAAUCCUAGAAAAAAAAUCCAUUUUGAUCACUAAAAAUAUUGGGAAAUAGUCAAAUUAAUUAAUUCUCAUAUACUACAUUAGUUGUUCUGAUUUUUUAUAUAAUUAAAACUAAAAAGGAUUGCAAAGGAAACUUUAUUUGACUAAAAAAAACUUUAUUUGAUUGCAAUUAAAUUUUCCUUACAUUUCUUUAAAAAAAAUCCUUACAUUAAUUGUUAUCACUCAAAUUUUGUUAUAUUCGUUCUAAACGGUUUGCUCUAUCCAUUCCACAUAUUUUUGCAUUCAUUAUAUUUGCUCUACAUAAUCCGCUUAUUCAGUUUUGUUAUCACCAUCCACACCCAACGUAUACAAAAUGAAGAAAACACUUCAACAGAGAAUAUUAAUUAACUUAAAUUACUUUGGGCAAAAGUUCUAGAUCAUGCCAUCCAAAAUUAUACAGCUGGGUAUCAUCCCUUGAAAACCAUUAUUUCCGAUAAAAUUAGAUUUAAACCGAAAAGUACAUGAAUCUGAUUCAUAGUAGAUAUCAUUCAUAUAGUAAAAAAAAACAUUAUAGUAAACCAUCUGGGAUCGGAUAGAUAAGAGCUGCCAAGUUGAAAUAAACAUUAAACAAGCUACUCCAAAAUUCUCUUUUGUUAUGUGGAUGGCGAUGAAGGAAAGAUUAUCUACGGGUGAAAGAAUGAGUAAUUGGGGAGGCAGUGUUGAUACUACUUGUGUGUUUUGCCAAGAUCCUAUGGAGACUUUGGCUCACCUUUUCUUUGUCUGUCCAUAUUCUUCUCAGAUUUGGGAGGGUUUGACAAAGAGAGUUAUGGAUACUCAAUACACAACGAGUUGGAGGGGUAUUAUGCGAGUGGCUUUGGAUAAUACUCAAGAGAAGAUCAAGCUCUUCACUUUGCGGUAUGCUCUUCAAGCUACAGUGCACACAAUUUGGAUAGAAAGGAACAGAAGAAGACAUGGGGAAACUCCUAAACCAGCAGAGCUGUUGAUUAAAUGGAUUGAUAAGAUGGUGAGAAACAAGUUCUCAAUUAUAAGGAAGAGAGGGGAUAAGGAUUUUGAUGGAGGGAUGGUAUAUUGGUUUAGCACAAGAUAGAAAAAGGAGAUAGAAGUUUGAAUUUUUUCUUUUCAAAAUAGUUACACUUGAUGUAAAGCAAAGAACUUUUUCUUUUUGAAUUAAAUUUAACAUUCAAUUCAAAAAAAAAAAAAAAAAAAAAAAAAACAUUAAACAAGCGACUGAGGUUGGUUAGAUUAGAUUUUGUCAAUUUUUGUUUGAUUUACAUUGUUUACUUUUGUAGACGUAGCAAUAAGAGAUUAACUGAUUGAUGAGAGAGUAGAGACUAAAAUUAGGAGUAUAUUACUGCGCUGCAACUUGCAUAACCGGACUGUUAACAGUUGACACAUUAUAAUAGUAAUCUACUUAUAGCACAUCUUUGUUGGGGCCCUACACUGCUCUGCUCUUCUGGCACUUCCGCAUUUACUUUCCCACGCUCGUGAUAGAGGUGCGUGAAGUAUAAUAAGAUUCUCGCCAAAAGUAAAUAGUAAUAAUAUUUAUUUUUUCUACUUAUUUUUAAUUUUAAUUUUUUAUAACCGGAAAGUAUUGGACAAACCGAAGUCCAAUCAAAUAAUCUUUUGAGAAUAUGUUAAUCAGCGCCAAACAGAUUCGAUUGUUCGCAAUGAUAAUUUAAAACCAAUGUCGCCUGACCACACAAGCAGCUAUAUCUGAGAUGAUUUUAUUUCUACUUAUUAUAAAAAGGAUUAAUGAUCGUUUGUUUUAUUGGAUAGUAACAUUUUUGAUGAUGCACCUUCUAAAUUAAAAAAAAGUACUAUAAUGUUUAUUUAUAAUUUCCACAAGUUGCCUAAAAGAUAUACUGUUGCGGUAAUAAUUUUAAAAUAUAAACAAGAUUAGCAGUAAAAAGAAUAGAAAAAAUUGCAAAAUAGCUUUAGGAAGCUGAGAUUAGUUGGAAACAAAUAUCUUCUUGUUAAUAGUAUCAGUUAAAGACAUCAAUUACUCUUUUGCAAGUUUCUUUUAUGUGCGCCAUAUAUACUGCAUUGUAACCACAACGAACUCGCUAAAGAUAUUGUUAAUGAUUUAAUUGGAUAGGUAGCCUCUGUAUCAGUGUAUCAUAUUCUAAUCAGAGACACAAUAACUCACUGAAGAUAAAAGACGACAGAGAUAUUUUGCCUUUGUUUUCUAGUUUCCCUAUGAAGGCUAAGUUUGUUUUGUUGUUCUUACGUCACGAUCUUGUUCAUCUCAACCAAAUGUGAUGAUAAUUCACAAUCAAUCACUUAAUAAUAUUAUAUAUGUAAUAUCUAAACAAUAAAAAGAACUUUUGGCAUGUGCGAGUACCCACAUGAUAUACAAUAGUAACAUUUUUGUUAUAUGUGUGUAGCUUCUACAAGAGUUGAGGAAUAUGGUUCCACCAGCGGAGUACGUGUUCAUCUUGUUAGAGGAUAAACACACCUCACAGAAGAGGUUUUUGGGUUGAAAAGUAUGCAAAAAUAGGGGUUCUCAGGGUAACAAGAUGGAAGAACUAAAGUUAAUUUGAAAAUGUUCUAAUACCUAAGUUAGCAUCAAUCAGUUGAGGGUAUAAGUUGGAAAGUGAAUAUAGUGAACUUGAAGGGUUAGGUUGUAACGAACAGUUUGAACCAGUUGAAACUACAACAUGGUCUGCUACAACGGGUGUGCUGAAUGAAGUGAUCAAUAUAUAGCUAAGCAGCUGACUUGGAGACUAGAGUUAGAGCUAAGGUGGAGCUGAUCUAGAAAUCUGCUACAAUGAGUGUGCCGAAUUAAUGAGUGAUCAAGAUAUAGUUGAGCAGCUAACUUGGAGACUGGAAUUGUAAAUGAGUAGAGCUGAUCUAGAUGUUAUUCGAAGGUUAAACAGUCAAAUAUUUAUCUAGAAAAAAAUAAACAAAUCAAUGAUGAAGAUUUUCAAAAGAAUUAGUAGAGUCUUAAGAAAUAUUUUAGUUUGAGAUAUUUGGGAAUAUCUCUUUGAGUGAAUAGAGUUAGUCGGUUUCCUACCUUGUAUAAGUAGGAGGGUUUUGUGCUGUGUAUUAGGUUAGCACUUGCAAUUGUAUUUUUGACAUAAGUGGGAUUUUCAUAUCUUGUAAGGUGAGUGAAAACACAAAAGGAUAAAUGGAAAAGUUCUAAGAUCUUGUAUUGAAUCUUAGGGCAUGUGAGACUAAUUCAAUAAGUCAAUGUGUUUUUGAACUUGUUGAUUGUUCGGUUUAAAGAAAGAUUUGUAAUUUUCUUUAAAAAAACUCUAGUAGGUACACAUAUUUUUUUAGAAAUUAUCUUUGGUGUACCUUGUAUUAUAGUUUUUGACGUAAUUCUUGCAUUUACUAAGGGAUCUCUCACUUAGGUUGGGAUUCCUAUCUGCCGGAGAAUUUGAUGAACGCAUUUGUGGGAGGAAUGAGGCUAGGCUUCUUUUCUGAGUGCUCAUAUGCAUAUUGAUAUUAUCAAAAGUGCAAUCCUCUAGUGAGAAGAAAAUAACGUCGGAUCCUUUUUAUCGAGACGAUUUGAUGGAGUUCUCUUCUCCACGAUUGAUGCCGUAUAUACAGAUUUUACGGCUAUUGUACUUGAGUAGCUUAUAGGUCCUAUGGUAUGGUUUUACAUGUCUUCUGAAAUAGCGCAUCUACACCCACUGGUUUUGUGAGUAUGAGGGUGCACUUCUAACAGCAUAUCUUAUUAUGUGAAAGACAUUUUUUGGGGGUGACUUCCCUGAGGGAUGCUCUAAUCUAAACGACACAUGUCAUGUGUCACAUUGUUUCGUGUGGUUAGGCUGAGUCUAGCUUACACGACUUAGCGCCAGGACAUCAAGAUGCCUUCCUUGUUUCCCACAUACCAGAAGUGAGCCCCACGAGAAUUGACAUUAUGGAUCUUCAUGGAGGAUGCCACAUACUCGGGCGCUAAGGAACAUAAAUUUGCCCUUAGAGAGAUUGACUCUUGUUACUUCGCCUGUCUCAUAGAAACACCUGGUAAUCACAACGUUUAUUGGACGUGUAAACAGUGCGCGUCUUUUUCUGAUUAUGAUAAUCAAGAUUAGAACAUAUUAUACCUGACUCGAUAGACAUCUAUCCAAAGACCAUGAGUGACACACUGAGACAGGAAAGGAAUGUCCCGUGCACAAGGCGAUAACAAAAGGAGGGAUUAUUAAUUUUUCAGCAUGUCCACCCCAACAAGCGAAAAAAAUGAAGUUUCUUAGAACCAUUACAUUGACCUUGGAAGUGUUUGGACAGUAAAUAAAGACAAUGUCCCUAAAAACAUGCAAGUGAAUAAGAAAACAGAAAUUUCACCUAUUAACACAAAAAAUGAUAAUCAAAAUUCACAAACUAGCAAAAAUCCUAUCUCUCUUUUCUUUUUCUCUUCCUAUGUGCUCUUUCUAAAACUAAUUUGUUUUUCUUUGUUAUUUCACAAAUAACCCCGUAAAAGUGACAAAACACCUUUUUUUUUGAUAAUCCAGGUAAUCCGGACACUCCGGAGAAAACCUGACUAGCGCCUAAGUACACCUCCGCAGAAGACAUCGUGGAGGGCCGCCUUUUUAACUAGGUAAUUAUUAAACUUAGUAAUUUUUUGUUUUGGGUUCACUAGCCUUAAUUCAUCGAAGAAUUUUGAUAGUUUGCAAUUAUUGGUCAUAAAAUUGCUCUCAAACUGUCGUACUCUUUGUUCAUAGUAAUAAUAAUCGAAUACUUUAUAUUCAUAUUUAUUAUCAAAGAAUUAUAUGCAAUGGGUGCAUGUGUGUAUGCAUUUAGAGGUAUCCACGCGCAUACAGGUUCACCCAAAAGGGUUCCAAUAAUGGAUUUGUUCAAAACAGUUUCUACGUCUGCUUUACAAGUUACUAGUAUUGUGGUAUAUAUAAAGUAUAAAACAUGAGUUAAUUAUGGACUAUAAACUUAAAACACUCGAUUUGAUGAAAAAAAAUACGCAAAAGACUCGAAUUACAAAACAAUUAAUCUUUAAAGACUUUGAUUUCCGAAAAUAUGCUCAUUUGAGAAACUUCAGAAAAAAUGACUUCAACAUAAACUAGUGGUUAUAUAUAUAGAAGAAAAAAAACUGGACAAAAAAUCUGUUUGCGUGCUUUGAAAAAUGUCUAUAUUUCUACAUAUAGUCCGACAUAAUAUAAUAUAUAUAGGUAAUUUAUAGAUAGGUAAAGGACCGAUACAAAUCCUCAGUAAACAUGAAACUUUUUUUUUCUGUGGGAUCCUGAAAGAUUAUGCAACUAAUUUUACGAGCUUUUUAAGAAAGGAAUCCAUGGGUUACAUUAGUUCUGAAAGCUUUGUGGGAUCCUUUCAGUUUUAUCUGUGUCUCUAACCAAUGUAUUUACGAGGUAAAUGGACAAACGACCCAAUAGCUUUUAGUUGUCAGGGAAGGAAUCUCAACUCUAAAGCUGAUUGAUAAACCUAUUAAUUAAACAAUCAGAAUUUGCAGCUGCAAAGAUAAAUUCUCUACUUUUUUUUUGUCAGCACAUAUUUUUUGCUUAAACUAAAAAUAUAUAUAACAAUAUUCUCUGAACUUAAAAGUAACACUUGGAAUCGGAAAAAGAAAACUAUAGAAGCAGAUUUUUCUUCGCAAUCAAGAGAGGUCUCGUAGUUUCAUUGCUUCCCGUGGAAGAAUAAAACACAAUCAUAAGAAAGUUGACUUUUUGGGGUAAAUAAAGGCAAAGUGAAACACUAUAUAACCUUAACAUUCCCUAUUCUGGAAAUAAAACAAUAAAAUAAUAGAAAAUUGAAAAAAAAAUCUGCGAAAAAGGCUUAAACGUUUUGCCAGAUACGGCACCAUAUCUAGCCACUCACUUUCUAGUUUCCAACCUUUUUCGUGUUCAUAUUCUAAGUAUGAAACUGAUCAUAUAUCCUUCGAGAAUCAUUGGAAAUUCAUAAAUAAUUUUACGUGCCACAACAUAUAAGAUAUAACGGGAUAGUAUUAGUGUAUUACUUGCUAAACCAUCUAUCCAAACAUAGAUAGAACUUUUUUUUUUGAAUUAACUACAGUGUCCGGCGAUCAAAAUUAACCGAUUAGUUCUACUGAUACCGACAUUUGUAAAUCCGUUGGUGCCAAUGGGAAUCGAACUGCGCGUUUACCGUAUUGGAGUUAUUCCUCAAGUUUAUUUUAUAAUAAAUGAUAGUUCUACAAUUAGUAAGCUAUUAGUAUAAAAACCGAAUAUACACAAUUUUCUUUGAAAACAAUAGCUCUCCACUAGUUCCAAAACGCACUUCAAGGGAAGAAGAGAAGAGACAAACACAACACAAAGAUUAGUGGUGCUCCCCGAUCACUAAUUAAAAUACUAUUAAAUGUCCAAAGCCUAAAAUAAGCUUCACCUACAUGUAAGCACUUUUUUUACAAAAAUAGAGUGCAAUGUACCUGAAAAUUAUAUAGGUUAUGAUUAAGAUUAAUGAUGGAAACGAAAAUGUAAAUAGAGAAAAACUUCUAAAAUAAAAUUAUGGUUAGAAAAUGAAAAAAAAAGAACACCUUUUGGCAAAAAAAACAAAGAGAGAGAGAGAGAGUUCAAUGCACCUGCUUCCCCGGCAUUGAUAUUAUUACUUUAGAUGACAUGUGUUUCAAAUAUUACAAAGCAACACUUUUGUUUGUUGAGUUGUGAAACUUAUUAAAUAAUUUUUUGAAUUUCUGUACUAAGCAAUUUGUGUAGUGUUAAAAAAAAUAGAGUAGAGCAGAACAAUCUUAAAAAAAGGAAAAAUAUAAGUAAUAUUAAUAAAAUCUCGUGUAAUAUUUAAUAAAAUCUAUCUCGCAAGAUGAAGGUUGAUUUGUAUCAACAAUGAUUGGUUGAUCUAAGAUAGGCUUAUUUUCCAAUAUAGAAGUGUAUAUAAUUUCGGAGGACUCUUCAAAUAAAAGUAAAAUAAAAGCAAAAUGAGGAAAGAGGUCUCUAAAUAAUUCUAACGCGAUUAAGAGAGAAUAAAUUAAGAAUCUGAAUAUGAAAGAGAUGGGAAGAAUAAAAGAAAACAGCUGGAGAGAUAUUUGUGCCUUAUGCAUAAAGAAACUGCGUCGCAAUUAGACAACAAUUGCUUUAAUUUCAGCACAGAUUUUGUCGUUUCCUUUAGCCAUAACGAAAGAUGGUGUGAUGACAGUUGACAAAAAAACUUGUUUUAUAGGCUACUCUUUCAAAAAUAACUUUGGAAUCUGAUAUUAAUAUGUUUCCCCCGAAGUAAUACUCCCUCCGUUUCAAAAUAGAUAAUAUUUUAGAGAGAUUUUAAUGUUUUAAAAUAGAUGAUGUUUUCAUAUAUCAAUGUAUUUUUUUAACUUUAUCAAAAACUAUUUAGUUAAUGAUAUUUUGUAAUCUGUUUUGUGAUUGGUUAAAUAACUUUAAUAUUAUAUUUUAAUAAUAUUCUUAAAAUAAAAAACAAGUUUCUUAAUAAAUGUAUAUAAUCUUAAAACUUUAUGUAUUUUUAAACAAAGGAAAUAGUAUAGUAUAUGUCAUAUGACAUGUACUUACGUGAGACGUUUAAUUGGCAUAUGCUGAGAAACUUCACAGAAGAACAUGUUCCAAAUCCAAAAUGCUUAAAGCAAAUUACUACCGGUAGUAUUUAAGUAUAAAUUUUUAUGUCUAAAAGUAAUACUUUCUCUGUUCCCGAUAGUAAGAUUUUCUAAAGUGUUAACACUUAUUAAAAAUUCAAUAAAUGUUUAUAAUUUAAUUUUUCUUUUACUUUAUUAUAUACUUUCCAAUAAAUUUUCACCAAUAAAAUUUAAUCAAUUCAAAUAUUUUCAUUUAAUGUUUCUUAAAAGUAUAAAAAAUACCUUAAACAUAUAUAAAAUCUAUCUUUGUGGAAUAAGUAAAAAAUCUAAAACAUCUUAUUUUUGGAAACGAAGGGAAUAGAAAAUGAAGUGAAAUGCUAAAAAGAAGUUCUCAGAUGAAUUUUUUUUUUAAAAAGUAUUACGAAACACUUAUCAGUACAACUACACUUUUGCAGUAGUAAAAAGAUGAGAAGAACAAUUAUUUCUUCAUGUUGCUACAAUGUAGAAAAUUUGACAUUAGUUAUAUACCUUGUUCAAAAAAUCGGCCGAGUUGGCGAUUAAGCGGCCGGUUAAACGUGACUCGGGUGGUGGACGUGGCGAGUUGGGCCUCUUCGGUUGAAUUAUACGGAAGGCCGAGUAAGAAGCGUGGAAUACGUAAAAGUUAAAACUCGGCCAUUAGGCGGACGUGGACUGCCGCGUUCUUGAGCGUCUAUUAAAGUCUGAAGCAAAAAUUGCGGUGGAAAAUUGUUUGAGAUUCGUGGUCGAGACGAACGGUGGAGACGGAGAAGAGAUGAAAGCUCAUUAUGAGGACAAAUGGGUUGUCUUUGGGUUUGUUGAAUGAAUUAGAGCUUGAUGUCUGGCGUUUUAGCUAGGCGGAGUCGACAAGGCUUGAGCUUGUUACAAUGGUUUGUGUUGAUGAUGAUGAUGAUGAUGGUGGUGGUUAUGUGAAGUGGGAGGCUAAUUAUUUUUUUCUGUAGAAUCGAGUAAUAUUGCUUUAGAAAAAUACAGUUUUAAUGAUGUCUUAUAAAUUUAAGAACUUUACUUUAGAAUCUGUGUGAGUUUAUCAAUAAAGAAACGUGAAAUAGAAGACAACCUCUAAACUUCCUCGUUUCGUUUUGAUAUGCAACAUUUAUAAUGCAUAUCAAGGAAAUUAAUCAGUUGCGAAAGAAGAAUUGAAGGUUUUAUUGUUUCAUUCACCAUGAAUGGAGGAGAUUUUGAUACAUCUUAUAUAUACAACAAACUGAUGAACGAAAGCAAAACAUGAAUCCACAACAUGACAACAUGAAUACAUUAACACGUAACAUUUUUUUUACAUAAACAUAUAUUUUGUUUGUAAAAAAACAUGUAUUAUACAUAAAAAUUGGUAAUAUACGUAUAAAUGGAGCAGUAUACGUAUAAAAGUACAAAAAAUUCUUCCCCGCGUACUCCCCGAUUUUUUCCCGCUUUUUC